Molecule: ribosomal RNA, 790 nt
Filed under: uncultured Acidobacteriaceae bacterium
Lineage: Bacteria; Pseudomonadati; Acidobacteriota; Terriglobia; Terriglobales; Acidobacteriaceae
Description: bacterial SSU rRNA
Rfam family: Bacterial small subunit ribosomal RNA
Source: RNAcentral
CAAGUCGAACGAGAAAGGGUAGCAAUACCUGAGUAAAGUGGCGCACGGGUGAGUAACACGUGACUAACCUACCCUGGAGUGGGGGAUAACUGAGGGAAACCUUAGCUAAUACCGCAUAAUACCUACGGGUCAAAGGAGCAAUUCGCUUCAGGAGGGGGUCGCGGCCGAUUAGUUAGUUGGCGGGGUAAUGGCCCACCAAGACAGUGAUCGGUAUCCGGCCUGAGAGGGCGCACGGACACACUGGAACUGAAACACGGUCCAGACUCCUACGGGAGGCAGCAGUGGGGAAUUUUGCGCAAUGGGGGAAACCCUGACGCAGCAACGCCGCGUGGAGGAUGAAGUCCUUCGGGACGUAAACUCCUUUCGAUCGGGACGAUUAUGACGGUACCGGAAGAAGAAGCCCCGGCUAACUUCGUGCCAGCAGCCGCGGUAAUACGAGGGGGGCGAGCGUUGUUCGGAAUUAUUGGGCGUAAAGGGUGCGUAGGCGGUUUUGUAAGUCUUAUGUGGAAUCUAUGGGCUCAACUCAUAGACUGCAUGAGAAACUGCAGGGCUUGAGUAUGGGAGAGGUGAGUGGAAUUCCUGGUGUAGCGGUGAAAUGCGUAGAUAUCAGGAGGAACACCUGUGGCGAAAGCGGCUCACUGGACCAUAACUGACGCUGAUGCACGAAAGCUAGGGGAGCAAACAGGAUUAGAUACCCUGGUAGUCCUAGCCCUAAACGAUGACUGCUUGGUGUGACGGGUACCCAAUCCCGCCGUGCCGUAGCUAACGCGUUAAGCAGUCCGCCUGGGGA